UGCCAGCAGCCGCGGUAAUACAGAGGGUGCGAGCGUUAAUCGGAUUUACUGGGCGUAAAGCGUGCGUAGGCGGCUUCUUAAGUCGGAUGUGAAAUCCCUGAGCUUAACUUAGGAAUUGCAUUCGAUACUGGGAAGCUAGAGUAUGGGAGAGGAUGGUAGAAUUCCAGGUGUAGCGGUGAAAUGCGUAGAGAUCUGGAGGAAUACCGAUGGCGAAGGCAGCCAUCUGGCCUAAGACUGACGCUCAUGUGCGAAAGUGUGGGUAGCGAACAGGAUUAGAUA
RNAcentral lists this ribosomal RNA (279 nucleotides) under uncultured bacterium. RNAcentral describes it as "partial 16S ribosomal RNA". It matches the Rfam family "Bacterial small subunit ribosomal RNA", at positions 506 to 784 of the family's 1533-position model. The record is from RNAcentral.